UGGCCGUAAACGAUGUGGACUUGGUGUUGGAAUGGCUCCGAGCUGCUCCAGUGCCGAAGGGAAGCUGUUAAGUCCACCGCCUGGGAAGUACGGUCGCAAGACUGAAACUUAAAGGAAUUGGCGGGGGGAGCACCACAACGGGUGGAGCCUGCGGUUUAAUUGGACUCAACGCCGGAAAUCUCACCGGAUAGGACAGACAUAUGAUAGUCGGGCUGAAGACCCUACUUGAUGAUCUGAGAGGUGGUGCAUGGCGUCAGUGACU
RNAcentral lists this ribosomal RNA (262 nucleotides) under uncultured archaeon. RNAcentral's name for it is "partial 16S ribosomal RNA". It matches the Rfam family "Archaeal small subunit ribosomal RNA", at positions 748 to 1008 of the family's 1478-position model. The record is from RNAcentral.